This 292-nucleotide ribosomal RNA is filed under the name uncultured bacterium. Its description in RNAcentral is "partial 16S ribosomal RNA". It matches the Rfam family "Bacterial small subunit ribosomal RNA", at positions 505 to 796 of the family's 1533-position model. The record is from RNAcentral.
GUGCCAGCAGCCGCGGUAAGACGAACCGUGCGAACGUUGUUCGGAAUCACUGGGCUUAAAGGGAGCGUAGGCGGGCCACCAAGUCAGGGGUGAAAUCCCACGGCUCAACCGUGGAAGUGCCUCUGAUACUGGCGGCCUCGAGGGGUGCAGGGGCGUGCGGAACUAAGGGUGGAGCGGUGAAAUGCGUAGAUAUCGGAAGGAACACCGGUGGCGAAAGCGGCAUCCUGGACCGACAUUGACGCUGAGGAGCGAAAGCUAGGGGAGCAAACGGGAUUAGAUACCCCGGUAGUCC